AGAGCAAUCUGCCCUUCUCAUCGGAAUAAGCGUUGGAAACGACGUCUAAUGCCGAAUACGACCUCCUUUCGCAUGAUCGGAGGUGGAAAGCUCCGGCGGAGAAGGAUGGGCUCGUGGCCUAUCAGCUAGUUGGUGUGGGUAACGGCCCACCAAGGCGACGACGGGUAGCCGGCCUGAGAGGGUGACCGGCCACACUGGGACUAAGACACGGCCCAGACUCCUACGGUAGGCAGNAGGUAGGGG
RNAcentral lists this ribosomal RNA (243 nucleotides) under uncultured bacterium. Its description in RNAcentral is "partial 16S ribosomal RNA". It matches the Rfam family "Bacterial small subunit ribosomal RNA", at positions 118 to 354 of the family's 1533-position model. The record is from RNAcentral.